Molecule: ribosomal RNA, 235 nt
Filed under: uncultured bacterium
Lineage: Bacteria
Description: partial 16S ribosomal RNA
Rfam family: Bacterial small subunit ribosomal RNA
Source: RNAcentral
CCGACGGGUGAGUAACGCGUAUCCAACCUGCCGUCUACUCUUGGACAGCCUUCUGAAAGGAAGAUUAAUACAAGAUGGCAUCAUGAGUCCGCAUGUUCACAUGAUUAAAGGUAUUCCGGUAGACGAUGGGGAUGCGUUCCAUUAGAUAGUAGGCGGGGUAACGGCCCACCUAGUCUUCGAUGGAUAGGGGUUCUGAGAGGAAGGUCCCCCACAUUGGAACUGAGACACGGUCCAA